AGCGUAGGCGGUUUUUUAAGUGGGGUGUGAAAUCCCUGGGCUUAACCCAGGAAUUGCAUCCCAUACUGGGAAACUAGAGUGCAGGAGAGGAAAGUGGGAAUUCCAAGUGUAGCGGUGAAAUGCGUAGAGAUUUGGAGGAACACCAGUGGCGAAGGCGACUUUCUGGACUGUAACUGACGCUGAGGCUCGAGAGCGUGGGGAGCAAACAGGAUUAGAUACCCUGGUAGUCCACGCUGUAAACGAUGAAUACUAGGUGUUGGGGGCGAAGCCCUCAGUGCCGCAGUUAACACAUUAAGUAUUCCGCCUGGGGAGUACGAUCGCAAGAUUAAA
RNAcentral lists this ribosomal RNA (330 nucleotides) under uncultured bacterium. RNAcentral's name for it is "bacterial SSU rRNA". It matches the Rfam family "Bacterial small subunit ribosomal RNA", at positions 568 to 898 of the family's 1533-position model. The record is from RNAcentral.